RNAcentral lists this transfer RNA (63 nucleotides) under Bourletiella arvalis. RNAcentral's name for it is "tRNA-Asp". Lineage: Eukaryota; Metazoa; Arthropoda; Collembola; Symphypleona; Bourletiellidae. The record is from RNAcentral.
GAGGGGUUAAUUAAAAAAAUAAUAUAGAAAUGUCAUAUCUAAUUUGCUAUAGAGCAUCUCUUU